Molecule: ribosomal RNA, 273 nt
Filed under: uncultured bacterium
Lineage: Bacteria
Description: partial 16S ribosomal RNA
Rfam family: Bacterial small subunit ribosomal RNA
Source: RNAcentral
UACGUAGGGUGCAAGCGUUGUCCGGAAUUAUUGGGCGUAAAGAGCUCGUAGGCGGUCUGUCGCGUCGGCUGUGAAAACUCGGGGCUCAACCCCGAGCCUGCAGUCGAUACGGGCAGACUAGAGUGCUGUAGGGGAGACUGGAAUUCCUGGUGUAGCGGUGAAAUGCGCAGAUAUCAGGAGGAACACCGGUGGCGAAGGCGGGUCUCUGGGCAGUAACUGACGCUGAGGAGCGAAAGCGUGGGGAGCAAACAGGAUUAGAUACCCCAGUAGUCC